AUGACUUCCAUUGCCAAAUUCCCAAUUCCAGUGAUUGAAGAACUACUCGAUGAACUCCACGGAGCUGUCUGGUUUUCCAAGCUUGAUCUCCGAGCCGGAUACCACCAAAUUCGCAUUGCAGAAAGAGACGAAUUCAAGACAGCUUUUCAAACACAUUAUGGGCUUUUUGAAUUCUUGGUGCUCUCUUACGGCCUGGCUGGUGGUCCAACCAUGUUCAACGAUGCAGUGACGGGCACCCUCCAACCCCUCCUGCGCAAGUGUGUUCUAUUGUUCUUCGAUGAUAUCCUCGUCUUCAGCCGCACGCUCGAAGACCAUACAGCACACCUUGCGCAAGUUCUUCAGCUGCUAAAAAGGGACCAAUGGAAGGUCAAAGCAUCGAAAUGUUGUUUUGGUCAGAAGAAGUUGUCGUACUUGGGACAUGUUAUCAGUGCUGACGGAGUAGCGACAGAACCCAGCAAGAUUCAGAUCCUCUCUGACUGGCCUACACCAACAGACAUUAAAGAAGUGUGCCGCUUCCUCGGACUCGCGGGCUACUACCGCCGGUUCGUGCGUCACUUUGGAAUCAUGGCUCGGCCUCUAUUCAACUUACUGAAAAAGGGGACCCCAUUUGUGUGGACACAAACGACCGAAGAAGCAUUCCAGCUGCUUAAACAGGGACUCAUCACAGCACCGGUGCUUGCCCUCACGGAUUUCUCGAAACCAUUUGUGGUUGAGACUGACGCAUGUGAUGCGGGUGUGGGAGCAAUCCUCCAACAGCAAGGACACCCCAUUGCGUACAUGAGCAAGGCGCUCUGCCCCCGGUUCAGAGGUUUGUCAACUUACGAGAAGGAGUAUCUCGCUGUUGUGGUAGCUGUUAACCAAUGGCGUCCCUAUCUGCAACACAGUGAAUUUGUGAUUCAAACUGAUCAGAAAAGCCUUGUGCACCUUGAAGAACAACGAAUCACGACCCCGUGGCAGCAGAAAGCGUUCAAUAAGCUGUUGGGGCUACGCUAUACAAUCAGGUACAAAAAGGGAGUAGACAAUGGAGCAGCAGAUGCCCUCUCUCGAGCCACUCACUCUGAGCAGCUACAGACACUCUCUACAUGCCAACCAAGCUGGAUGGAAGAUGUGAUUAAUAGUUACAAUGCUAAUCCCCAAGCACAAAAGCUGCUGGAACAACUGGCCAUCCGAGCUGACCCCAAAGGCCGUUUCACCUUGGAGCAAGGCAUUCUGAGAUUCAGAGGAAGAAUUUGGCUUGGGGGUUCUACGUCAAUACAACAACAAGUGAUUGUUGCCUUCCAUGACACGCCUAUCGAUGGUCACUCCGGAUUCCCGGUCACUUGGCGGCGUGUGCGCCAGCUGUUUGCGUGGCCUAAAAUGAAGACACAUAUUCAACAUUAUGUCAGAUGUUGCAACACCUGUCAGCAAGCUAAACCUGAUCGAGCAGCUUACCCUGGAUUGCUAGAACCUCUUCCAGUUUCAAAAGAAUCUUGGGAAAUGAUCAGUAUGGACUUCAUCGACGGGCUGCCUCAAUCACGAAGUGUCAACUGCAUUCUGGUCAUUGUGGACAAACUGACAAAAUUUGCUCAUUUUCUGCCUCUGGCACAUCCCUACACAGCUUCAAAAGUGGCUCUGCUGUAUAUGAAUCAGGUCUACCGACUCCACGGAUUCCCUGGUCCAAUCAUCUUUGAUCGCGACCCGGUUUUUACUAGCCACUUCUGGCAGGAAUUGUUCAAGUAUGCUGGCACAGGGCUCCGCAUGAGCUCAGCCAAUCACCCGCAGACGGAUGGCCAAACUGAACGUGUCAACCAGUGCCUGGAAACCUUUCUUCGAUGCUUCACACACGCCUAUCCUUGA
Molecule: ribosomal RNA, 1836 nt
Filed under: Triticum aestivum (bread wheat)
Lineage: Eukaryota; Viridiplantae; Streptophyta; Magnoliopsida; Poales; Poaceae
Description: partial small subunit ribosomal RNA
Source: RNAcentral